CUUUGGGAUAACCCUCGGAAACGGGGGCUAAUACCGGAUAUUCACUUGCGGACGCAUGUUUGUGGGUGGAAAGAUUUUUCGGCUUGGGAUGGGCUCGCGGCCUAUCGGCUUGUUGGUGGGGUGAUGGCCUACCAAGGCGACGACGGGUAGCCGGCCUGAGAGGGCGACCGGCCACACUGGGACUGAGACACGGCCCAGACUCCUACGGGAGGCAGCAGUGGGGAAUAUUGCACAAUGGGCGGAAGCCUGAUGCAGCGACGCCGCGUGAGGGAUGACGGCCUUCGGGUUGUAAACCUCUUUCAGCAGGGACGAAGCGUGAGUGACGGUACCUGCAGAAGAAGCGCCGGCCAACUACGUGCCAGCAGCCGCGGUAAGACGUAGGGCGCGAGCGUUGUCCGGAUUUAUUGGGCGUAAAGAGCUCGUAGGCGGCUUGUCGCGUCGACUGUGAAAACCCACAGCUCAACUGUGGGCUUGCAGUCGAUACGGGCAGGCUAGAGUUCGGUAGGGGAGACUGGAAUUCCUGGUGUAGCGGUGAAAUGCGCAGAUAUCAGGAGGAACACCGGUGGCGAAGGCGGGUCUCUGGGCCGAUACUGACGCUGAGGAGCGAAAGCGUGGGGAGCGAACAGGAUUAGAUACCCUGGUAGUCCACGCUGUAAACGUUGGGCGC
RNAcentral lists this ribosomal RNA (667 nucleotides) under uncultured Micromonosporaceae bacterium. Its description in RNAcentral is "bacterial SSU rRNA". It matches the Rfam family "Bacterial small subunit ribosomal RNA", at positions 136 to 816 of the family's 1533-position model. Lineage: Bacteria; Bacillati; Actinomycetota; Actinomycetes; Micromonosporales; Micromonosporaceae. The record is from RNAcentral.